ACUACGGGCGGCAGCAGUGGGGAAUAUUGGGCAAUGGGCGCAAGCCUGACCCAGCAACGCCGCGUGAAGGAAGAAGGCUUUCGGGUUGUAAACUUCUUUUCUCAGGGACGAAGAAAGUGACGGUACCUGAGGAAUAAGCCACGGCUAACUACGUGCCAGCAGCCGCGGUAAUACGUAGGUGGCAAGCGUUAUCCGGAUUUAUUGGGUGUAAAGGGCGUGUAGGCGGGAGCGCAAGUCAGAUGUGAAAACUCAGGGCUCAACCCUGAGCCUGCAUUUGAAACUGUGUUUCUUGAGUGCUGGAGAGGCAAUCGGAAUUCCGUGUGUAGCGGUGAAAUGCGUAGAUAUACGGAGGAACACCAGUGGCGAAGGCGGAUUGCUGGACAGUAACUGACGCUGAGGCGCGAAAGCGUGGGGAGCAAACAGGAUUAGAUACCCGUGUAGUC
Molecule: ribosomal RNA, 443 nt
Filed under: uncultured bacterium
Lineage: Bacteria
Description: partial 16S ribosomal RNA
Rfam family: Bacterial small subunit ribosomal RNA
Source: RNAcentral